RNAcentral lists this ribosomal RNA (256 nucleotides) under uncultured bacterium. RNAcentral describes it as "partial 16S ribosomal RNA". It matches the Rfam family "Bacterial small subunit ribosomal RNA", at positions 524 to 776 of the family's 1533-position model. The record is from RNAcentral.
UACAGAGACUGCAAGCGUUACUCGGAUUCACUGGGCGUAAAGGGAGCGCAGGCGGACCGGUGUGUCAGAUGUGAAACCCCAGGGCUCAACCCUGGGACUGCGUCUGAACUGACCGGUCCAUGAGGACUACGGGAGGGCUAGUGGAAUCCUGGUGGAGCAGUGAAAUGCGUAGAUAUCAGGAGGAACACCAACGGCGGAAGGCAGCUAGCUGGACGAGAUCCGACGCUCAGGCUCGAAAGCGCGGGGAGCGAACAGG